Molecule: long non-coding RNA, 296 nt
Filed under: Prunus persica (peach)
Lineage: Eukaryota; Viridiplantae; Streptophyta; Magnoliopsida; Rosales; Rosaceae
Description: long non-coding RNA (PPER_LNC000970)
Source: RNAcentral
ACCAAAGUUCAAACCUAUUACUAGAAAUUCUCCCAUAUGAGUAAACAAGUGAGAUACUUUCCCGCACCCCUUGUAAAAGGGAUUAAGUAGGGUUGUCCCAACCCUAAUAAUGAAGCCCAAAACUUACUCAAUGACGGGCAAUUAUGGCCUUAAGUAUUGUAUGGGUCAGGCAGGGCUAGCUCUAUAACAAAUAGGUUAAGUCUAGACCCUACCUAAAAGAUCUUUUUUUUUUUUUGUUGGAGUAGAUGCUUCUAUAAAAUAGAAGCACCAUAAAAUAGUAUAAAGGAUAACUGUUG